UUCUUCAUUCGAAUUGCCCAGAAUGUGUAGUUAGUUGUGUUUAACAUUGGACAAGAUAUCGAAGAGGUUCCUUCUUUAGGUUUUGCGGUAACCGUAGUAAUAUCACCCAUCUCUCACGAUUUACGAGCUCUGAUACCAAUUAUUGUUCUAAUGUAGAAAAUGAAAUCAAAUAUUAUAAGAAGCCACUUUUAUUAGCUUAAGAAAAUAUCUCAAAACUUAAACUCUCACAAGAAUCUCUAACUUCAAACUCAUAAGUUCAUGGCACAU
Molecule: long non-coding RNA, 267 nt
Filed under: Brassica napus (rape)
Lineage: Eukaryota; Viridiplantae; Streptophyta; Magnoliopsida; Brassicales; Brassicaceae
Description: long non-coding RNA (BNAP_LNC009190)
Source: RNAcentral